This 497-nucleotide ribosomal RNA is filed under the name uncultured bacterium. RNAcentral's name for it is "partial 16S ribosomal RNA". It matches the Rfam family "Bacterial small subunit ribosomal RNA", at positions 28 to 507 of the family's 1533-position model. The record is from RNAcentral.
GAUGAACGCUGGCGGCGUGCCUAAUACAUGCAAGUCGAGCGAACAGACGAGGAGCUUGCUCCUCUGACGUUAGCGGCGGACGGGUGAGUAACACGUGGAUAACCUACCUAUAAGACUGGGAUAAUUUCGGGAAACCGGAGCUAAUACCGGAUAAUAUAUUGAACCGCAUGGUUCAAUAGUGAAAGUCGGUUUUGCUGUAACUUAUAGAUGCAUCCGCGCCGGAUUAGCUAGUUGGUAAGGUAACGGCUUACCAAGGCUACGAUGCGUAGCCGACCUGAGGGGGUGAUCGGCCACACUGGAACUGAGACACGGUCCAGACUCCUACGGGAGGCAGCAGUAGGGAAUCUGCCGCAAUGGGCGAAAGCCUGACGGAGCAACGCCGCGUGAGUGAUGAAGGUCUUCGGAUCGUAAAACUCUGUUAUUAGUGAAGAACAAAUGUGUAAUUAACUAUGCACGUCUUGACGGUACCUAAUCAGAAAGCCACGGCUAACUACGUG